CCCUAUGUGCACUUUAUGUCACUAAUAACGUCUGACUUAACUAGCGAAGAAUUAUGGCACUUGGCUGACCUCCCAUGAUGAAGUGAAAGUCUACAGAGCUCUUGUGCUUUUGAUUAUAAACCAUGGGUACCACAAAAGGGAAAAGACUAGCUGUUACAAAGACACAGACGUGAUGGAGGAGUCCAUGUCAAUGCAGUGUAUGAUGAAUGUUUGAUAUGACCUCCCAUGGCCGUAGGAGAAUAUGACCAAUCCCAGCUCACCAGGCCUCAAAGGCCCUGAAAUAUUCACAUUGAGGAGCUGCUGAGUGGACUCCUGUUCCUGAUGGCCUGGUUUUUAAAGUCAGCAACGCACCUGCAGUGACUGCAUCACAUCGGGGAACACCAGCACGAUGAUCAAGCAACCUGAUGAAUAUGUUCAGCACCGAGCAUCUAAUCUCAGUGACUUCCGGAGGCGUCUGGUUCGUUGCGGAUGACAUCAGCUGCGGAGUGAGUUUGCGAAAAAAAAAAAGAAAAGCCGGCGCCCUCUUCUCUCCCCGGUUACCGAAGAUGACACAAUGUCUGCUGGUAUAAAAAGCUAGUGCCACUCCUAUCAGGGCUCCACUUGUAUGUCUGA
Long non-coding RNA from Pleuronectes platessa (European plaice), 612 nucleotides. RefSeq lists it as uncharacterized. The record is from RefSeq and is a predicted model, not a curated record. The transcript has 4 exons. Lineage: Eukaryota; Metazoa; Chordata; Actinopteri; Pleuronectiformes; Pleuronectidae.